CCUGGCUCAGAUUGAACGCUAGCGGCAGGCUUAAUACAUGCAAGUCGAGGGGCAGCACGGUUAGCAAUAACUGGUGGCGACCGGCGCACGGGUGCGUAACACGUAUACAAUCUACCUUAAACAGGGGGAUUAGCCUUUCGAAAGAGAGAUUAAUACCCCGUAAUAAAUUGAACGGCAUCGUUUGAUUUUGAAAGCUCCGGCGGUUUGAGAUGAGUAUGCGUCUGAUUAGCUAGUUGGUGAGGUAACGGCUCACCAAGGCGACGAUCAGUAGGGGACCUGAGAGGACUAACCCCCACACUGGUACUGAGACACGGACCAGACUCCUACGGGAGGCAGCAGUAAGGAAUAUUGGUCAAUGGAGGCAACUCUGAACCAGCCAUGCCGCGUGCAGGAUGACGGCCUAUGGGUUGUAAACUGCUUUUAUACAAGAGAAAACCCUGGUACGUGUACCAAGUUGAUAGUAUUGUAAGAAUAAGCAUCGGCUAACUUCGUG
RNAcentral lists this ribosomal RNA (493 nucleotides) under uncultured bacterium. Its description in RNAcentral is "bacterial SSU rRNA". It matches the Rfam family "Bacterial small subunit ribosomal RNA", at positions 18 to 507 of the family's 1533-position model. The record is from RNAcentral.